CCGACUCCACUACGCACUAAGCAUCCGUUUUAUUUUGUUCUCUAGCGGUGCUUGAAGAGUCUAUAUCGCCUUUGUUACACCACAAAGUCUCGGCCUUCAAAACUCAUUUCGAACACAAGCGGAAAAGCGAAACUGACAAUCUGAAGCUCUGUCUUGAAUAUUCGAACUAUGUCUGUGACGUUCUCCACUACCAGCUCUACUCUGUGGAUCUGCUGUAUAACCAUAACUAUGCUUCUCGUAAUGAGACAGCUCUCCUCAGCUACAUCUUGUUAUACAACAUAUAUGAGUUGCCGAUAUAAUUACCAGUGCUGCUCUAAAAUAUGCGGUGGCCAUCCACAAGUAACUGUUUGCCUAUAAGCAUCGAUCAGGAGGAGCUGUGUUAUUUAACAUUUAUCUAUCCCAGCCUCAUUGUAAUCAGGCUGCUUAUUUUGGCAAAAAAAGGGUAACAACUAAAAGAAUGAGUCAAAUCAUCAAUUGACUAGUGACAAUUCGCGAGAGUGGGAUUAAAGAGAGCUCCGUUUUAAAAUGUUUCAAUAGAAUAAUACUCGAGAACUUCAGAAUCUUUUUUUCAGAAAUAUUUUGAAAUAUUAUGAAAAUCAUUUGAAUGAAAAAUUUUGUUAUCAUAAAAAUGAAGUAUUUUUACGAGAUCAAUCCAAAAGGAAUCAUUGAUUUGGUUGUACAAUGGUAUAAUAUCUAUUUUUUGUUUAAAUUAUAUAUAGUACAUAGAACUAUAACACGCUUAAAUUAAUAUAGACACAACUUGAGAUAAUUAGUGUACUACAACCUAAUUUCUUUCGAGAAUACAUUUGCA
Molecule: long non-coding RNA, 811 nt
Organism: Varroa destructor (honeybee mite)
Lineage: Eukaryota; Metazoa; Arthropoda; Arachnida; Mesostigmata; Varroidae
Source: RefSeq, a predicted model, not a curated record